Molecule: long non-coding RNA, 521 nt
Organism: Neopelma chrysocephalum (saffron-crested tyrant-manakin)
Lineage: Eukaryota; Metazoa; Chordata; Aves; Passeriformes; Pipridae
Exons: 3
Source: RefSeq, a predicted model, not a curated record
GCUCGUGCUAAUUUGCAAUUUGUUUACACUGUGCUUUUCCUUGGCAGCGGGUCUUUUGUGUCUCCUGGUUCUCAGUGAACUGUACAGAAAUGAAGGAUUCCCUUUACAACAACAAGAAGUAGGCAAAGUACUCUCUUCCACGGCAAUGUAAUCGUCAGGAUGUUAAAAUGGGAAGUGUUGGGAACUAGGAAAUCUGUCAGACACCUGCUGCCACAGCUGAGGUGGAUAAAACACCCGUGGGCAGCACCCAGAUGGGACCAGGCGGGUGCAGGAUCCCCCAGGGCAGCAGUGGGGUUUGCACUGCACAGUUUUCCUGUGUGAACAAUAAAAGAAUUCCAGAGGCAGCCCAGGCCAAGUGUGCCUGAGCUGGUCUAUGGGAGUGCCUGGCAAUGAAGGUUCUGCACAGGUCUGACACCAAGGUCCCCAGGAUGUUUGUCUUGUCACCCAAACGCUGACUGGGUGCUCAGGAGGGACUCUGCACUCCCUCCUCAGCUCCACUAAGAGGACACAUCUGAACUCCA